CUUUACGGCCAUACCAACCUGGCUAUGCCCGAUCUCGUCGCUCUCGGAAGCUAAGCAGGUUUGGGCCUGGUUAGUACUUGGAUGGGAGACCGCCUGGGAAUACCAGGUGCUGUAAGCU
Molecule: ribosomal RNA, 118 nt
Filed under: Carassius auratus (goldfish)
Lineage: Eukaryota; Metazoa; Chordata; Actinopteri; Cypriniformes; Cyprinidae
Source: RNAcentral